This 1929-nucleotide ribosomal RNA is filed under the name Triticum aestivum (bread wheat). RNAcentral's name for it is "partial small subunit ribosomal RNA". The record is from RNAcentral. Lineage: Eukaryota; Viridiplantae; Streptophyta; Magnoliopsida; Poales; Poaceae.
AUGGCCGCCCGAAAGGGCCACUGGACACCGCUAAAUGUUCUUAUGGGCAAUAGCGGUGCCGGCGCCACUCCGCCGGCGGUUCAUGCUGUCCCGCCCGGAGGCCUCAUCAACAUCGUCAUCGAUGACGAGCAGGCCGACGUCGUUGAUAAUUCUGCAACGACGAUCACCUUGGACGUGGAGCUGAACAACGUCCUCCAUGUCGUGGCGUCCAGUGGAGACGGUGACGAGUUCCUGGAGAGCGCGAGGGGCAUCUACUGCAAGGCCAAGCACCUCCUGGACGCACGCAACAAGAAGGGCGACACGCCCUUCCAUUGCGCUGCCAGAGCUGGGAUGCUGAAAAUGGUCACUCAUCUCAUCUGUCUGGCGAAAGCUGAGGGCGGCGACGACAGGGUGAAGGCAGCACUGAGGAAGCAGAACGAGCAGGGGGAGACGGCUCUCCAUGCGGCCCUCCGCUUGUCGGACAAGGAGACGGUUCGGGCAAUGGUCCACGAGUUAUGGGUCGCGGAUCCAGAACUGACUCGUUUCCCUCUUGCAAGCGGCACGUCGCCACUGUACCUGGCCGUCUCGUUAGGGCGUGAGGAUAUUGCCGAGGGACUGCAUGAGCAGGACCCGGGGCUCUCCUACUCUGGACCAAAUGGACAAAACGUCUUGCAUGUUGCCGUUCUCAGGAGCACAAGUAUGACAAAAAAUGUUCUGAAAUGGAACAAUCACCUCAGCAAACAAGGGGAACAAACAAAUGGGAGCACACCUCUACAUUUUGCAGCCUCAUGUGGGUUUCUUGAAACAGUAAAGUGUCUACUAGACGCUGAGGAAUCUCUUGCAUAUCAGUGCGACAACAAGGGGUCAUUCCCCAUACAUGAGGCGGUUAAGGAAAAGCAAGUCAGUGUAGUUUGCACCUUGCUCAAAAUUUGCCCGGACUGCGCCCAGCUACGUGAUGCCGAGGGCAAGACCUUCCUCCAUGUAGCUGCCAAACAAGGCUACGCAAAACUAUUUCCUCCUGUUUUACAGGUUUUAUUACAAGAAAAGCAGAUGUUUGCAGCCAUUAUGAAUGUGCAGGAUGAUGAUGGCAACACUGGGUUGCAGCUUGCUGUCGAGGCCGGAAUUUUAGAAACUGUGUGCUUUUUACUGUGGGACAAGGAAGUUAUGUUAAAUUUAUCAAAUAACGAGAGGGAAACUGCACUGGAUCUUUCACAGCGCAUGCGGACCCCAGGUGUCCUUUUUGGUUUGGGCCGACGGGUUUCGAUCCACAAACUUUUAGUGCAUGCUGAUGCUCAGUACGGUGUUCAUAGUAAAACCCGCAUCCCUGAACUAAAUGAGGAGAAGGAAGAAAAAAGGAUCUCGGAUUCGACACAGACCAUUGGCGUUGUGUCAGCGCUACUCGUGACGAUUUCCUUUGCGGUAGCUUUCACCAUACCCGGAGGCUAUCGAACAGAUGAUGACCCUAAGGUCGAUAAUAUUAAGGGCGGCAUGCCGGUGCUUGUCACAAGCCACUCUCUUCAGGCAUUCAUUAUCGCCAACAACCUGGCGUUGCUCUGCUCCGCCAUGACCACCAUCCGCCUCAUGUACGCCGGAGUGACCACUGUCGACAUCAGCAUGCGCAUGAAAGCCUUCGUCAUGUCCAUUUUCUUCCUCAACAGCUCAGCCCGAACGCUGGCUGCGGCGUUUGCGUUGGGCAUGUACGCGACGCUGGUUCCUGCGGCUGGCGCAGCAGUUACUCUUACGGUUAUAGGCACCACUAUCACGCUGCUUGACGUUGCUUGGUUCACGUACAUGACAUCCAAGGAUCAGCUAGUGCUUCGGAAGAGGAUGGGUGUUGGCGUGGCCUUGAAAUGGUUUGCGCUUUUGGUCCUACGUGGGGUGCUCGCGUGUCUCUGGCCGUACGUCAUAAUCGCCGGUUUCUUAGCCUAUAUUACAUUAUGGAGUAAGUGA